This 313-nucleotide long non-coding RNA is filed under the name Homo sapiens (human). RNAcentral's name for it is "HSALNT0334142". Lineage: Eukaryota; Metazoa; Chordata; Mammalia; Primates; Hominidae. The record is from RNAcentral.
CCCAUUUCAGGAAGAGAAUGUGGGGCUGAGAAAAGUUAUCUAUUGCUCAAUUGGACCUCUCCAGUUUCUGUGAGACAAUGUCCUGGCCACAAGUCUGCACACUCCUUUGCUACUGGUCCUGUAAUGGCAGAACCUUUCAUCUCGCCUUUAUUGUUCACUGUGACCCCUGCAUUAUCUUCAAAAUAAAGAAACACGCCAUCUUUUCUGCGGUAUGACUUUCGUUGUCGAAUAACCACUGCUGGAUGUACCUUUUUUCUGAGCUCUGGUUUGCCUUUCUUGACUGUGGCCAUCACCGUGUCACCCACACCAGCAG